GGGUGUAGCUCAGUGGUAGAGUGCGUGCUUACCAUGCAUAGAGUCCUAGGUUCAAUCCCCAGUACCUCCA
Molecule: transfer RNA, 70 nt
Filed under: Camelus bactrianus (Bactrian camel)
Lineage: Eukaryota; Metazoa; Chordata; Mammalia; Artiodactyla; Camelidae
Also listed under: 1 other name
Rfam family: tRNA
About the family: Transfer RNA (tRNA) molecules are approximately 80 nucleotides in length. Their secondary structure includes four short double-helical elements and three loops (D, anti-codon, and T loops).
Source: Rfam by way of RNAcentral